RNAcentral lists this transfer RNA (86 nucleotides) under Felis catus (domestic cat). It matches the Rfam family "tRNA". Rfam says of the family: Transfer RNA (tRNA) molecules are approximately 80 nucleotides in length. Their secondary structure includes four short double-helical elements and three loops (D, anti-codon, and T loops). Further hydrogen bonds mediate the characteristic L-shaped molecular structure. tRNAs have two regions of fundamental functional importance: the anti-codon, which is responsible for specific mRNA codon recognition, and the 3' end, to which the tRNAs corresponding amino acid is attached (by aminoacyl-tRNA synthetases). tRNAs cope with the degeneracy of the genetic code in two manners: having more than one tRNA (with a specific anti-codon) for a particular amino acid; and 'wobble' base-pairing, i.e. permitting non-standard base-pairing at the 3rd anti-codon position. The record is from Rfam by way of RNAcentral. Lineage: Eukaryota; Metazoa; Chordata; Mammalia; Carnivora; Felidae.
GCCUGGGUGGCUCAGUUGGUGAAGCGUCUGACUUCGGCUCAGGUCAUGAUCUCGCGGGUUCGUGGGCUCGAGCCCCGCGUCAGGCU